Long non-coding RNA from Spinacia oleracea (spinach), 663 nucleotides. RefSeq lists it as uncharacterized. The transcript has 4 exons. The record is from RefSeq and is a predicted model, not a curated record. Lineage: Eukaryota; Viridiplantae; Streptophyta; Magnoliopsida; Caryophyllales; Amaranthaceae.
UCUCUCUCGCCAUUUUCUCUCUCCUCAAGAAACGACCAUUGAAGCUCUAAGAAAACGACGAUCAAGCUCCAAAAACGCCGAUUACUUACUGAUUUAAGUUGUUGAUGAACAAAACUGAAAAUUCAAAAAAUCAACAUGAAAAAUAAAUACGAACAAAGAAGGGAAAAUUCAAAGGACGUAAAUGAGAUUAAACAUGCCAAAAAAUCAGAGCUAAAUCGAGCGCAUUUAUAGUAAAAUUGUCGAAGAAGCAAUCUGAAGGACAUCCUUGAAAACGUCGGGUUAUUUGUUUUGCAUAGGAGGGCUGUUGCGGGUAAGUCUUGGGUGGUAUGAUUCAUGUUAUUGACUAUCGGGCAGUUGUUUGGCUGCUGCAAGAACAGUGGCACUGAGGAUCUCAAUCCUCUGGAUUAGCCACUCACUAGUAUUUUUGUCGUUGGUUAUUGAUACGGAGUGUACUCUUUCCAUCUUAUAUUUGUGAUCGGUUUUUUAAUCUCAUUAUUAGAUUUAUUAUUGACAAUAUGUAGCAUUAGUUUCGCCCUCCAAAGAGUUUUCACCAAAGAGGGAGUUUUCUCUGAUUUGAUUUUUACUUAAUACUAGCAUUUGUGACGUUUAACUGCGUUUGUAUGGAAAAUGUUGGUAUUUAUUAUAUAAAAUAUAUAGUUUUGA